Molecule: transfer RNA, 64 nt
Filed under: Pseudocosmetura anjiensis
Lineage: Eukaryota; Metazoa; Arthropoda; Insecta; Orthoptera; Tettigoniidae
Description: tRNA-Met
Source: RNAcentral
AAAAAGGUAAGCUAAAUAAAGCUAAUGGGUUCAUACCCCGUAAAUAGGAAGUGCCUCCUUUUUA